RNAcentral lists this ribosomal RNA (1212 nucleotides) under metagenome. RNAcentral describes it as "SSU rRNA". It matches the Rfam family "Eukaryotic small subunit ribosomal RNA", at positions 558 to 1790 of the family's 1831-position model. The record is from RNAcentral.
AGUCUGGUGCCAGCAGCCGCGGUAAUUCCAGCUCCAAUAGCGUAUAUUAAAGUUGUUGCAGUUAAAAAGCUCGUAGUUGGAUUUGUGGUUUACGCAAGGCUUCCGUCCCUCUUGGGUUUCGGUGUUGCCUGGCGUUGCCAUCCUUGGGUGGAAUCUGUGUGGCAUUAGGUUGUCGUGCAGGGGAUGCCCAUCGUUUACUGUGAAAAAAUUAGAGUGUUCAAAGCAGGCUUAUGCCGUUGAAUAUGUUAGCAUGGAAUAAUAAUAUAGGACCUUGGUACUAUUUUGUUGGUUUGCGCACCGAGGUAAUGAUUAACAGGGUCAACUGGGGAUAUUCGUAUUCCGCUGUCAGAGGUGAAAUUCUUAGAUUUUUGGAAGACGAACUACUGCGAAAGCAUUUAUCAAGGAUGUUUUCAUUAAUCAAGAACGAAAGUUAGGGGAUCGAAGAUGAUUAGAUACCAUCGUAGUCUUAACCAUAAACUAUGCCGACAAGGGAUUGGUGGAGUAUCGUUACGUCUCCAUCAGCACCUUAUGAGAAAUCAAAAGUCUUUGGGUUCCGGGGGGAGUAUGGUCGCAAGGCUGAAACUUAAAGAAAUUGACGGAAGGGCACCACCAGGAGUGGAGCCUGCGGCUUAAUUUGACCCAACACGGGAAAACUUACCAGGUCCAGACAUAGUGAGGAUUGACAGAUUGAGAGCUCUUUCUUGAUUCUAUGGGUGGUGGUGCAUGGCCGUUCUUAGUUGGUGGAGUGAUUUGUCUGGUUGAUUCCGUUAACGAACGAGACCCCUGCCUGCUAAAUAGCCCAGUGAGUGAUUUUUCACUGACUGUUGGCUUCUUAGAGGGACGUGCAUUCUAUUAGAUGCAGGAAGAUAGGGGCAAUAACAGGUCUGUGAUGCCCUUAGAUGUCCUGGGCCGCACGCGCGCUACACUGAUGAAUUCAACGAGUUUUUUCCUUGGCCGAGAGGCCUGGGCAAUCUUUUGAACGUUCAUCGUGAUAGGGAUAGAUUAUUGCAAUUAUUAAUCUUGAACGAGGAAUUCCUAGUAAACGCAGAUCAUCAAUCUGCAUUGAUUACGUCCCUGCCCUUUGUACACACCGCCCGUCGCACCUACCGAUUGAAUGGUCCGGUGAAGCCUCGGGAUUGUGGUCAGUUUGCUUUAUUGCGAGUUGAUUGUGAGAACUUGUCUAAACCUUAUCAUUUAGAGGAAGGUGAAGUC